GGCUCUGUAGCUCAGUGAUAGAGCGCCGCUCUCAUGAGGCGGAGGUCGAGAGUUUAAUCCUCUCCAGAGCCA
RNAcentral lists this transfer RNA (72 nucleotides) under Candidatus Pacearchaeota archaeon. RNAcentral describes it as "tRNA-Met". It matches the Rfam family "tRNA". Rfam says of the family: Transfer RNA (tRNA) molecules are approximately 80 nucleotides in length. Their secondary structure includes four short double-helical elements and three loops (D, anti-codon, and T loops). Further hydrogen bonds mediate the characteristic L-shaped molecular structure. tRNAs have two regions of fundamental functional importance: the anti-codon, which is responsible for specific mRNA codon recognition, and the 3' end, to which the tRNAs corresponding amino acid is attached (by aminoacyl-tRNA synthetases). tRNAs cope with the degeneracy of the genetic code in two manners: having more than one tRNA (with a specific anti-codon) for a particular amino acid; and 'wobble' base-pairing, i.e. permitting non-standard base-pairing at the 3rd anti-codon position. The record is from RNAcentral. Lineage: Archaea; Nanobdellati.